GGUCCGCUGGCGUAAUGGCAGCGCGUCUGACUACGAUACAAGUAUCAAUCAGGAGGUUCCAGGUUCGACCCCUGGGCGGAUCG
Molecule: transfer RNA, 83 nt
Filed under: Podospora comata
Lineage: Eukaryota; Fungi; Ascomycota; Sordariomycetes; Sordariales; Podosporaceae
Also listed under: 1 other name
Rfam family: tRNA
About the family: Transfer RNA (tRNA) molecules are approximately 80 nucleotides in length. Their secondary structure includes four short double-helical elements and three loops (D, anti-codon, and T loops).
Source: RNAcentral